UGUAAGUUCAUUCUCCUCCUCUUCCCAUGGACUGAUCCCUCUGUUUUGUAGCUGAUUUCUGUUGUGCAUCUUAAUUAUUAAUAUUAUUAAUUAAUAUUAUAUCAGAUUAAAUUAUUCUGGUUUUUUUUUUUUGGCAGCUGUUCAAAAUAAGUGAAGAAGUGGUAGUUGAUGCAACUGAUAAAGGAAAUAUUGCGCGGCUAAUUAACCAUUCUGUAAGUCAACCUAUCCCAAAUUGUACACAGUACCCUGCUCAAAAAUCAAUCGCCAAUCUUAAAAACACAGCUGAUAUUUGCCUAUAUUUAGUCGUUUUAGUACAUAUUACUGGUUAUUAGUCAUCUCAUCUUACCCCUUCUUGGUUUACGUUAAUACAGUGUAUGCCAAAUUGCUAUGCAAGGAUCAUGAGUGUAGGUCAUGACGAGAGCCGGAUCGCACUCAUUGCCAAGACUAACGUAUCUGCUGGUGAUGAACUAACGUAUAUUCUCUAUCUAUGCUUCCCUCUUCUGUAGCAUGCUUUCCUGUGUCAUUUCAGCAUGCAUUUUAGAGUGAAUCGUCAUUUUGGUCUAUGAAUUCAUGAAAUGAUUCAUGAAAUUCUGCAACAUCAGAAUUUAGUCUAUGAAUUUCGAUCAAGAAUAUUCAAUAUCAGGCAUCAUAUUAGAAUUUCAUGAAUUUCAAAUAAACAAAUAGCCUAAUUCUUACAAUUUGAAAGACUAAAUUGGUGAUUUACUCACUUUUGUUUUAUCGAAGUCGGUCUAACGAAGUUUAUUGUACCUGACAGGUAUGACUACUUGUUUGAUCCUGAUGAGCCAGAUGAGUUUAAAGUCCCUUGUUUAUGUAAAUCUCCAAACUGCAGAAAAUUCAUGAAUUAGGAUUUAUUCAGAUCAUGUUGACAAGUAUUGUUUCUCCGCAAGGAGCUCUAACCCGUCGCAUCAUCAAUGGGAACCUCACAGUUAUACACAAGCUGUAAUUUUAAUCAAAGCAUAAGAAAAAAUAUAGAAAAUAAUAGCUGUGGCAUAGUUUUUCUUUUUACCCUCAAAUGCUUUCUUAGAGUUUAUUUCUUCUUUGACAUUCAUCAAAGCCUAUUGAAUUUUGUAUAGAUUUUGUAGCUUUUGGCUCUUGGCUUC
RNAcentral lists this long non-coding RNA (1121 nucleotides) under Trifolium pratense (red clover). RNAcentral's name for it is "long non-coding RNA (TPRA_LNC000411)". Lineage: Eukaryota; Viridiplantae; Streptophyta; Magnoliopsida; Fabales; Fabaceae. The record is from RNAcentral.